RNAcentral lists this long non-coding RNA (1220 nucleotides) under Homo sapiens (human). RNAcentral describes it as "HSALNT0200822". The record is from RNAcentral. Lineage: Eukaryota; Metazoa; Chordata; Mammalia; Primates; Hominidae.
GAAAAGCAGCAUAGAUGGAGAUGGAAUGUAACACCUGAAAUAAAAGGAUUUUGCAGGAAAUAAUGUAAAUCAAGCCUUUUGCCCUUAAUGACCCAUAAUAAAAUGCUCUUGCUACCAAGCUCUGCAGGCAACCCAGUGCAGGUUGCCAUGGAAAUGCCCAGCUGCUCCUCUGCGCAGUUGCUUAAUGAUCAGUGUGAUGCCAGGCUCUUGAGAGAAGCACAGGCUCAGACAACUCUUUACAGCCACAGGGACAGUCCACUCAGGACUGCAGUUACGUCUGAGUCGGAGCCCCUGUGUCCAGGCAGUCAGAAGCAAGACAGAAACAGGGCGGCCAUGGCACGUUGCUGCAGAUGCCGCUUCACCAACCUGUGACCUGGCUCCCGCUCUACACAGGUGAACCUUCCAGCUGUGGGCCAACAACUCCUGAUCAAAAAGGUUGUGCAGUUUCUGGUUUGGGUAAACUAUAAUAAAUUUGAUUAAAGUGCAGAUACCUCAUGGAGAUGUUAUUUUUGCUCAUAAAGAGUCUUUCUGACACUCUUAAAUGGCCUUAAAAAUGAACCUAAAAUGUCAUUUUGGGGAUUUGUAAGGCAUUAGAGAGUUGCAUCCAUCUCUUUCUCCUUCCCUUCUUUCUUUCUCUUUAGAAGUGCUUAGAAAAGCAUAGCAUCUUGGGGUCAGAAUAUCAUUAUAAAGCAAAUUACUGCUAAAAUGACCUAAAUGCCAACCUCAUAGUCUUAAGGAGUCCUUUCCUUACACUGUGUGUUGAACUGAUUGCUUGAAAAUAACUAAAUCGUCCGGGAGCUUUCAAUCAUGUAAUGCCUCAUAGUUCUUCUGGGGACAGAGACUGAAUGUGGCUACUUUGCAGAGCAUGACGUUUAAUGAUGCCAAGUGUCUUGAGUGCUCCUCACACAGAAUCUCCAGGAAGCAGAGAUGGAUGGGUAGAUUUUACAAUGGAGAGAGGACCGGUCCACUCUCAAAGUUCCAUCCUGGACAUUGAAUAGCAUCUUGGGAGGAACCAAAAUGGGAUCCCACUCUGGGUGACUCAUGUUGAGGAGGACAACAAAAGAAAUCAGCCCUGAGACAAACCAGCUCCCACUGAAGGAAAUAAUUUGACCAUGAACAGAGUGGAAACAGGAUAUAGAGCUCCCAAUAAUUUAGCCCAAAUGUAUACUUAAAUUGGAUCGCCUUGUAAGAAUGCUUUAAAAAAUAAAAUGCAGCCACCU